UAGGGAAUCUUCCGCAAUGGACGAAAGUCUGACGGAGCAACGCCGCGUGAGUGAAGAAGGAUUUCGGUUCGUAAAACUCUGUUGUUAGGGAAGAAAAAAUGUAUAGUAACUAUAUACAAAAGAGACGGUACCUAACCAGAAAGCCACGGCUAACUACGUGCCAGCAGCCGCGGUAAUACGUAGGUGGCAAGCGUUGUCCGGAAUUAUUGGGCGUAAAGCGCGCGCAGGUGGUUUAGAAAGUCUGAUGUGAAAGCCCACGGCUGAACCGUGGAGGGUCAUUGGAAACUAAUAAACUUGAGUGCAGGAGAGAAAAGUGGAAUUCCUAGUGUAGCGGUGAAAUGCGUAGAGAUUAGGAGGAACACCGGUGGCGAAAGCGGCUUUUUGGCCUGCAACUGACACUGAGGCGCGAAAGCGUGGGGAGCAAACAGG
Molecule: ribosomal RNA, 429 nt
Filed under: Verrucomicrobiota bacterium
Lineage: Bacteria; Pseudomonadati; Verrucomicrobiota
Description: Verrucomicrobia bacterium partial 16S ribosomal RNA
Rfam family: Bacterial small subunit ribosomal RNA
Source: RNAcentral